Oncorhynchus kisutch (coho salmon) is the source of this 1018-nucleotide RNA transcript. It is a transcript of the gene named RP9 pre-mRNA splicing factor, with no coding region annotated. NCBI's taxonomy places the organism in Eukaryota, Metazoa, Chordata, Actinopteri, Salmoniformes, Salmonidae. The transcript has 4 exons. The record is from RefSeq and is a predicted model, not a curated record.
CCAGGCAUGCUCGACUCUCUCUGAGAUGUAGACGGCGCUGCGAUGGCAUGCGCAAUCAGAAGCAGAAAAUAACUACGCUUGUCCCGAAUGUAUUGGUGUUCGAGAAAUCAUAUCAAACUGAAAUUAAAGGGUUAUGUUAUUAACACAGUUAUCCAAUGUCGUUGCAAUGUCUAGUCGAAAGAGAUCGCUAUACUCGGAGGACAGAGGGUACCGCAAAAGGCACAAUGAACCAAAACAAGAUGUGGAAAAACUCAAGAAACAAGCGACAAAAACUGAACCAAGAAGUGCAAAAGUGAAGACUUAUGAAAAACCUCCUGGAUUCAUUAAGGAAGACUACAAACCAGAGGACUGUAUUCCUGCUGAUCCAGGAAAUGAGGAUGCUAGAGACUUCCUGGUUCAGGCCCCCACCAAGGGGCUGUGGAUGCCUCAGGGGAAGGGGGUGAAAGUGAUGCAGUGAUCCAGCAGCUGCAGCAGCUCCUGCAGGAUGCUACCUCUUCCUCUGACAGCUCCUCCUCCACCAGUGAGAGCAAGAAGAGGAAACACAAGAAACAGAAAGAAAAUAAGAAAAAGAAACACCACAAGUUCUCCAAAACCAGUGACUGUUCUGAGUCUGACUGAGCUGUUGGAACCUACCUGGAUUGUUCUUGCAGGGAGAGGUGACGACACUACACUGCAGUGUCUGUCAGUCAGUGAGCGGCUACGGUGGUUCUUACCCAAUGGCUCAGUGUCGCUUCAAUGGUGCACUAUGAAGUGCACACUAGAUGACCCUCUGGUUCAGCCUUCCCCUCUGCCUUCCUUCCCUCCACCUUUAAAUAAUGCAUGACUUGUCCCAUCCCUCAUAUGGUUAAGGAGUUCAUUAGUCCUCGACUCCAUUAGAUCAUACCGAAUAGGAUCCUAUGGACGUGCAGUAGUGAUUGUGAAUGUAGGACCCCUCAGGAGAGGAACUCUACCAGCAUUGGUAAUGACAUGUUAUUUGUCACAUGCGCUGAAUAAAAUGGGUGUAGAACUUCCAGUGAAA